This 580-nucleotide small RNA is filed under the name Pongo abelii (Sumatran orangutan). RNAcentral's name for it is "processed transcript". Lineage: Eukaryota; Metazoa; Chordata; Mammalia; Primates; Hominidae. The record is from RNAcentral.
AAGAUGGCGGCGCCCUGGUGGCGAGUCGCGCUGUGCGGGUGUCGGAGAUGGCGGGGCUUCAGCACCUCAGUGACAUCGACUUGAGCAACCUGGAGCGGCUGGAGAAGUACCGGAGCUUCGACCGCUACCGGCGCCGGGCAGAGCAGGAGGCGCAGGCCCCGCACUGGUGGCGGACCUACCGGGAGCAUUUCGGGGAGAAGACAGAUCCCGAAGAAAAGAUUGAUAUUGGGCUGCCUCCACCCAAAGUCUCCCGGACCCAACAGCUACUGGAACGGAAACAGGCCAUCCGGGAGCUUCGGGCCAAUGUGGAAGAGGAGCGGGCUGCCCGCCUCCGCACAGCCAGUGUCCCGCUGGAUGCUGUGCGGGCCGAGUGGGAGAGGACCUGUGGCCCCUACCACAAGCAGCGUCUGGCUGAGUAUUACGGCCUCUACCGAGACCUGUUCCACGGUGCUACCUUUGUGCCCCGAGUCCCUCUGCACGUGGCCUACGCUGUGGGUGAGGACGACCUGAUGCCCGUGUACUGUGGCAAUGAGGUGACUCCAACCGAGGCUGCCCAAGUGCCAGAGGUGACCUAUGAGGC